RNAcentral lists this ribosomal RNA (280 nucleotides) under uncultured bacterium. RNAcentral's name for it is "partial 16S ribosomal RNA". It matches the Rfam family "Bacterial small subunit ribosomal RNA", at positions 506 to 784 of the family's 1533-position model. The record is from RNAcentral.
UGCCAGCCGCCGCGGUAACACGUACUGUGCGAACGUUAUUCGGAAUCACUGGGCUUAAAGGGUGCGUAGGCGGCUUUACAAGUCAGGUGUGGAAUCCCACGGCUCAACCGUGGAACUGCGCUUGAAACUGUUUAGCUAGAGUAUAGAAGAGGAUAGUAGUAUUCUUAGUUGUAGGGGUUGAAUCCAUUCAGAUUAAGGAGACUAUCAAAAGCGAAGGCAACUAUCUGGUUUAUCACUGACACUAAGGCACAAAAGCAUGGGUAGCAAACAGGAUUAGAUA